GGCUCUGUAGUUCAAUGGAUAGAACGAAAGUUUCCUAAACUUUAAAUUCGAGUUCGAUUCUCGGCAGAGCUA
Molecule: transfer RNA, 72 nt
Filed under: Bacteroidales bacterium
Lineage: Bacteria; Pseudomonadati; Bacteroidota; Bacteroidia; Bacteroidales
Description: tRNA-Arg
Rfam family: tRNA
About the family: Transfer RNA (tRNA) molecules are approximately 80 nucleotides in length. Their secondary structure includes four short double-helical elements and three loops (D, anti-codon, and T loops).
Source: RNAcentral